This is a long non-coding RNA of Leopardus geoffroyi (Geoffroy's cat), 232 nucleotides long. RefSeq lists it as uncharacterized. The record is from RefSeq and is a predicted model, not a curated record. The transcript has 2 exons. Lineage: Eukaryota; Metazoa; Chordata; Mammalia; Carnivora; Felidae.
CUGGAAAACCCUUCUGAGCUGUCGAAUGAACGCAACAGUUCUCAAAUACUGACCUGUGAACCAAGUUUUCAUGCAUCCCUGGUGAGGUAUACACUGUAUGUUUUCUUUUAUCUAUCAAACAUCUUUUGUAGAAAUGAAAUUGAUGGAAUUGGAGGACAGAGAAUUCCACCUACAUGGAGCAAGCCGCCUCUUUCAUUGAUGCAGCAAAACAUCAAUAAAAUGGGCCCCCUGA